CUCCCAAAAUCAGAUAACUCUAACUAUCCUUAGGUUAUUCUCCUAAGUUUCCAAUUGGAUUUCUCCUCCGUUGCACUCUGCUACCGUCUUUCAUGACGUCGUUGUCGUCCGUCGCUGGGUGGUCAUUGUCCCUCUGCGUCGCCCACAUGUGCUCUAUUCUGCUCCACUCGUCCGCCUUGCCUAUUGCAUCCCCUCGUCCCGCCUUGCCUCAGCGCGCCUCGCGGUGCCUUGCCUCAAAUCGCCGCUCCUCGACUCCGCAUUUUGCUGUCUGGACUGGUUCUGCAACAACAGCAUACAGGUUCUACUUGUAAAAGUUUGGGCUGCAAUCCUCAAAGCAUUGCUGCUGAUAGGCUUCGAUGCUUGGUUCCGGAAUACCGAAGAUCGGUGGUAAAAGCAAAGGCCUCAAAUACAACUGAAUGUGCUGCUAUGGUUAAUACCAAUUCUCGCAGAGACUCUCUUGGAUUGGCUUUGGGAAUCUCAAGCCUCUUUGUUGGUUCAUUGGAAGCCAAAGGAGCUGGUUUGUUGUAAAUUGCUAAUAAUGGUUGUUGUAAAUUGUUAAUAAUGUUUUGAUAUUUGAUGUAAUUGCAUUGCAUCUCCUGUUUCUACUAAUGUUAGUCAGCAUCUUUUUCAAAUGUCAGUUAUUUUUUAAGAGAAAUUCUUCAAAUAAAUCUUGGGAAUUCAAAGCAUUAUUAGUAUCUAAGCUAUUCUUUGCUGAUAAUAGAAUCUAUCAUUCUUAAAGGAAUAGCAGACAUUCUUAUAUUUUCAAAGAAUUUGUGCACCAUACAAAGAAUUUAUUAAUAACCAAUCUAUGUGAUUGCACUUAAGUUUUAAUAUUCACAUUUUUAAGACCCUUGAUCAAUGACCACCAUGGUAACAAUGGAUUUUACUUGGAAUACCCAUAGCUAAAUGACUAAUGUUGACUUUGAACAUUUUAUGCAAUGAAGGUGCCUAAGGUAACUACUGAAUCAGGUUUGCAAUACAAGGAUAUUAAAGUUGGACAAGGUCCUAGUCCCCCAGUUGGAUUUCAGGUGUAAAAUUUCUUUUAAUUUGUUCAGUUCUUUUUUAUAUGCAAUACAAGAUAGAUAAUAUCUAUUCUGCUCGAAGUUAAUUAUUGAAAAAGAAAAUAUAGAACUAGAACACUUUCGCAUUUUAAGCAACAUGUAAGACACGGGAACAAUGAUUUUGUUAUGCUAUGUCUCUCUGUAUCUCUGUUUCAGUGUAAUCAAACAUAUUUGUAUCUAACCAAAUGCAACUUCAUUUCUAUA
Molecule: RNA transcript, 1265 nt
Organism: Arachis duranensis
Lineage: Eukaryota; Viridiplantae; Streptophyta; Magnoliopsida; Fabales; Fabaceae
Exons: 2
Source: RefSeq, a predicted model, not a curated record